UUCAGGUGUAUUGUCCUGUCUAGAGACGAUGUACUGUAAGUCUGUCACACCAGACUUCUUUCCACAGCACAAUCCCCAGCAAGGAGGAGCAAAAAUCUAGUUGUUAUUGUCAACAUGAGACAGUUCAUUCACCUCUUAGAAAUCUGGCUGACUGCCCUUUUCCUGAGGGUUGAGAACACCCAAGCUGGAGGAAAGGACAAAUCACUCUUGUCAGGAACUGUAAUUGGUUCGAUAUGGAGAGCUUUCAAAAAGAAGUCAAAGGCCAGUUGUGCUGCCUUGUCCACUUCUGCUAUACUCUCAACCAACGAAGAGGAUGUUGAGUGAUACGACGCAAGAGAAGUGGAUUUUAUGGAUGCUUCAAAUCCACAUGGGAAACCAGUCAGCUCCAUGUCAAAGUCUGCCAGUCUUGAUUAGUCCUUUCUAUUAUGCCACACCCUGACUUUAUUCUGUUGCAAUAGCAAGCCAUCCCUGGAAAGACCCUAACAUUCCAUUAUCACUAACAGAACUAAAGUUAACUUCUCAACAAGCUUAGAAAAUGAAUGUGACAGUUUUGAUGGAUCUCUGAUAAUCAGAAACAAGAUGGAGAGAUUAUACUAUUAUGAGUUUACUAUAUGCAAGGUGCAUGAUGCAAACAAAGUCAUGUAUUUGCAUGUCCCUUUGAUCCAGUGAUAAGAAUGGCUCUACAGUGAUUGGUUCAUGCUCAAAGGUGUCCUGAACUUAAAAAGAUCAAAGAAAGA
Long non-coding RNA from Candoia aspera, 737 nucleotides. RefSeq lists it as uncharacterized. The record is from RefSeq and is a predicted model, not a curated record. NCBI's taxonomy places the organism in Eukaryota, Metazoa, Chordata, Lepidosauria, Squamata, Candoiidae. The transcript has 3 exons.